This 356-nucleotide transfer-messenger RNA is filed under the name Spirochaetia. RNAcentral's name for it is "ARS1246 sp002688185 Standard tmRNA". It matches the Rfam family "transfer-messenger RNA". Rfam says of the family: Bacterial tmRNA, also known as 10Sa RNA or SsrA, is named for its dual tRNA and mRNA-like properties. Its role is to liberate the mRNA from a stalled ribosome. Lineage: Bacteria; Pseudomonadati; Spirochaetota. RNAcentral also lists the same sequence under 1 other name. The record is from RNAcentral.
GGGGGUGCACCGGAUUCGACUGAAGGAUUGUGAGAUUUUGCGUUGCAGGCGGAGUGUCAGUCUCCUUAACCUGGCAACCCUUUAUUUGCCAACGAUAAUAAUUUGGCAUUAGCUGCCUAAUUAGUGCAGCUACGGGCGCCUCGGAUGCAGCCAUGAAGCCGGGGACCGCCUGACAGAAAUCAAGGCUCACCGUUUAUCAAGUUCGGGUGAUAGGCGGGACAUCAAAUCCGGAAUAGGGUGAUAGAUGGUCAGGUUUUUCACCGUACUGUCACCUAAAACUGUAAGAAAAACCUAAGCUUGUAGAUACGUACCGUCCGCCCUUUAGGACGCGGGUUCGACUCCCGCCACCUCCAAAA